RNAcentral lists this unclassified non-coding RNA (654 nucleotides) under Melitaea cinxia (Glanville fritillary). RNAcentral's name for it is "misc RNA ENSMCXG00005009563.1". The record is from RNAcentral. Lineage: Eukaryota; Metazoa; Arthropoda; Insecta; Lepidoptera; Nymphalidae.
CGAUGUGGGUGGUAGGUGGUGCUACUAUCGGUAUGUGAGCUAUCAAAUUUUGUAGCAGUUUUCCAGGCAGGACAACGUCUGCCGGGUCCGCUAGUUAAUGUAUAAUUGUCAUCUCUUUUAUUAUAAACUAGCGACCUCUGUUUGUCCAUAUUUUUUACACUAUAAGUAAUCACCAACAUAUCAUAUACCAAUUAAAACCUUCUUCGAAACACGCUGCAUCUUAUGGUAUAAAUAUUAUUCUGAUUGGUUGAGGACUUUUCGCAAUAUAACCGAACAAAAAAACCGGCUCUCCAUUUUUUAGAAGUAAAGAUAAUGAUUGUCAUAUGUAAUGUCAACAUGUUGUUCGUUUCACUGUUGAUAAGUAGGUAAUUGUUAAUUAACAUAUUUGCCUUUCUCUUGUUUGUUAAAAAUACGCUGCGAUAUCUUCAAUCUAUUGUUUGUGUGUGUUGGGUUUAAAAUUAAAAGCAAAGGCACUAAUAAACAGUGUGCAAAAACUAAGUACCUAAAUAAUUUUGAGAGCAUUGGGGAAAACGUUACAGAGUGAAAGGCAAUUAAAUUAAAAUAAUCAUAUUACGUAAUUUAAGCUUUAUAUUUUUAUCACAAGGAUAGAUCUAUUGUUAAUUAACUGCUCAUUAAAGCUUUAUGCCUUAAAUA